ACUGUACAUGGAAAUGCGGUACCUCUACUGUAAACUACAAUUACAGUAGAUAAGUGUUACCGUAGAAAUUACAGUAGUCAAAGCACUACUGUAAACAAAUCACAAUAUAGCCAUAGGCUACUGUAAAUAGUUAAGUAAACUACUGUGUUUUCCCUUUUUUAAUCUUAUCUUUCUUUUAACUCAUAAUGACAUACCAGAGACGGUUGAGAAAGUCAAUUUGAUGUCAAGAAUUAAGGCUUUGAUCACACUAUUGAGCGAGCAUAACACAUUUCAGCCUAAUCAUUUUCCACAAUUGUUUGGUUUUUAACGGCUGCUUAUCGCCUCUUGAUAAGCGCAUGCGCACACGCAGUAAUUCCCAUCCCCCACCCCUGACUUUUCAACUCAAGCCAGAGUGACUUCACUUCACAACCAUCAACCGUCACUUUUCAGUCAUGAAUCUGACUGCAAUCUUCAACUCUGUACAAACAUCAUAUUCAAGGUAAGAAUUACAGUACUUUUGUAUGCCAAUUGAAAACGGGAAUUUAUUAGAAAUGUAUUGUUUUCACAAUGAAAUGUUAACCAAAGCCAUUAUUGUCCUGUUAGAAUCAUAGCAUAGCACAUAUCGAUAGCUAGAACUAGCAACCUAGCUGCUAACGUCGUUAGCGUUAGCGAUGUUAGCUGUUAAUGUUAACUUUUCCAGUAACUAACUUAACCAUCAUGUGGGAUUUUUCGAAUGAUAGUCAAUAUCAUAUCUAGCAAUAAUUCAGUCUGAUAUGUCGUUAUGAAUGUAGAGUUUUAGUUUGAAUGAAAUAUCAGAUGCAAGUAGCUUAGCUUAAAGUGGCUGUUACCAUGCAGGCUGAAGUUAGCUACAGACAGACACAGGUGAAAGUUGUUAACGUUAGCAGUUAGUUAGUAACAUUACUUUGCGAACUUCAUGGGGCAUGGGUAGUUAACAUUAAACUUCAUACAUGUAGUGCUGAUGCAUAAUAUGUAGUGUUGCUAUAACUGGAAAGAGGACCAGUAAAACAAAUUAAUGAAGUAGGCUGAUGUGUAAGUUAUCUCACCCCUAAUUUAGGAACUGUAGUUUUGCAUAGUCAUGCUCAUAGAUCCGUCAUAUAGUGGAUGUGAAAGGGGAGCAUUUGGGGAAUUUCAAUUACCAGAAAUAUCAUGCCGAUAAGUAAAGGGAUCUUUAGUUUGUGAAGGGUAGUGUUUGGCUAAAUGGUAUUCAUGUUAUAGCCUUUAUUUGCCCAAUGUUUGGUGACUUACAUUGAGGCAUGUGUUUAUUUAAGAUGCAUGUGAGUGUAGUAGUGCUUCAGUGAUGGUCUUUUCAUGUUCUGUGUGUUUUGCAAUGUAUUAAUUAAUGUAAGCCUCUUUCUGUUCCCUCGGUUUGUAGGUGGUGUGAGGACUGCUGCCCUGAGAACGCUGUGUCAGAGACACUUAGGCUGUGUGCAUUUUGGAAUGUUCCAGAUGUGUGUCACUUCCAUAAGGAAGAAGUUCCAAGCCCGCAAUGGGCUCAACUGUCAACAACUGUCCAGGGCGAAGUCGGUCUACUCUGAUGGCACUACCCUGAUGAUGUUAGCCAUGGCUGCUGCCCUCAACAUGGUAGCCCUCAUAAAUAAACUGAUAUCAAGAAGUAACAUAGAUGGUGACAAGGGUGGCAAGGGUGCCUCAUGGCAAGGAGCCAUCCAGAAGUCCCAGCCUGGAGCCAGAGGCUGCUAUUACAAGUCAGAUGGGAGAUGGCCUACAGUAUGUUAGGCAUCAGAAAAGUGGUGUACGCAUGAAGGCAGAGUUGCCGCAGGCAACGAUGAGAUUAGACACUUGACAUUUACUGCGAAAGGUACCAUUAGAGCACCUCUCCCUACCCUGCAGGAUACCUAUACCAGAAGAGUACAACAACGGCCCAAAAGUAUUUCAAAAGACAUUUCACGCUCUGACCACGGACUGUUUAAACCACUGAGGUCAAGCAGACAUCUCUGUUCCCACGUGGCAGACUGAGGGAACACCCACAAAACAGACUGGGGAUGAGUUUCUUUACUCUGCAUCCUGUACACACACAACUCCUUAUACUACAUUACAUAGACUUGCCAUACUGCACUUACACACACUGCGCUUUUAACCCCCUUAUCUGUGUCAAAUCAUGUGUUCAAACCAUGUCUACUG
Molecule: long non-coding RNA, 2139 nt
Organism: Sardina pilchardus (European sardine)
Lineage: Eukaryota; Metazoa; Chordata; Actinopteri; Clupeiformes; Clupeidae
Exons: 5
Source: RefSeq, a predicted model, not a curated record